RNAcentral lists this ribosomal RNA (537 nucleotides) under Triticum aestivum (bread wheat). RNAcentral's name for it is "partial small subunit ribosomal RNA". Lineage: Eukaryota; Viridiplantae; Streptophyta; Magnoliopsida; Poales; Poaceae. The record is from RNAcentral.
AUGGAAGAGAUGACGAAGAUAUUGUUUCUUAGUUACAAUGAUCUCCCCUACCAUUUGAAGACAUGUUCGCUAUAUCUAAGUAUAUUCCCUGAAGAUUAUGUGAUCAAGAGGGAUCAGCUGGUAAGGAGAUGGAUCGCGGAAGGUUUUAUCAUUGUAGAAGGUGGACAGAAUCUGGAGGAAGUAGGAGAAGGCUAUUUCAGCGAUCUGAUAAACAGAAGCUUGAUUGAACCGGUUGAAAUCCAGUAUGAUGGUCGAGCUGAUGCUUGUCGUGUCCAUGAUAUGAUUCUUGACCUAAUUAUAUCCAAGUCAAUUGAAGAAAAUUUUGUAACCUUAUCUGGUGACAGCAAACAUAACUCACUUCCAUAUGAUAAGGUUCAUCGACUAUCCCUGAACUAUCAUGCUCAAGAACAUACUAUGGUACCAUCGAACAUGGUUGUUUCUCAUGUUAGAUCCCUCGCUAUCUUUGGAUGUGCCGAAGCUGAACACAUGCUUUCUCUUUCAAACUUUCAAUCCGUAAGUGUUAGAUAUAGAAAAUAG